RNAcentral lists this ribosomal RNA (727 nucleotides) under uncultured marine eukaryote. RNAcentral describes it as "SSU rRNA". It matches the Rfam family "Eukaryotic small subunit ribosomal RNA", at positions 452 to 1185 of the family's 1831-position model. The record is from RNAcentral.
UGACACAGGGAGGUAGUGACAAGAAAUAACAAAGCAAGUGCUUCAUGCAUUUUGCUAUUGGAAUGAGUAGAAUUUAAAUCUCUUUUCGACUAUCAAUUGGAGGGCAAGUCUGGUGCCAGCAGCCGCGGUAAUUCCAGCUCCAAUAGCGUAUAUUAAAGUUGUUGCGGUUAAAAAGCUCGUAGUUGGAUUUCUACCGAAGACAGCCGGUCCACACUACGUGUGCGCAUCUGGUAUGACUUCGGUAUCCUCAUGGAGAACAGCUCUGCACUUCACUGUGUGGACUGGUAUUCAUGACUUUUACUUUGAGGAAAUUAGAGUGUUCACGGCAGGCAAUCGCCCUGAAUACAUUAGCAUGGAAUAAUAAUAUAGGACUUCGGCCCUAUUUUGUUGGUUUCUAGAGCUGAAGUAAUGAUUAAUAGGGACACUUGGGGGCAUUCGUAUUAUCACGUCAGAGGUGGAAUUCUUGGAUUGUGUUACGACGAACUACUGCGAAAGCAUUUGCCAAGGAUGUUUUCAUUGAUCAAGAACGAAAGAUAGGGGAUCGAAGACGCUUAGAUACCGUCGUAGUCUUAUCCAUAAACUAUGCCAACUAGGGAUUAGCUCGCGUUCUUUUCGACCGAGUUAGCACCUUAUGAGAAAUCAAAGUCUUUGGGUUCCGGGGGGAGUAUGGUCGCAAGGCUGGAACUUAAAGGAAUUGACGGAAGGGCACCACCAGGAGUGGAGCCUG